This 1412-nucleotide ribosomal RNA is filed under the name metagenome. Its description in RNAcentral is "bacterial SSU rRNA". It matches the Rfam family "Bacterial small subunit ribosomal RNA", at positions 8 to 1380 of the family's 1533-position model. The record is from RNAcentral.
AGAGUUUGAUUCUGGCUCAGAACGAACGCUGGCAGCGUGGAUUAGGCAUGCAAGCCGAACGGGAAGCCGUUGAUCAAUCUUCGGAGAGUGAUUCGGUGGAGAGUGGCGAAAGGGUGAGUAACGCGUGUAUAAGCUGCCCUCAAGUUGGGGACAACGUCUGGAAACGGGCGCUAAUACCGAAUGUGGUCUUGUGGCGCAUGUCACGAUGACUAAAGGUGGGGAUCCUUCGGGACCUGCCGCUUGAGGAGGCAUACGCGUGCCAUUAGCUUGUUGGUGAGGUAACGGCUCACCAAGGCUUAUGGCUAGCUGGUCUGAGAGGAUGAUCAGCCACACUGGGACUGAGACACUGCCCAGACUCCUACGGGAGGCUGCAGUCGAGGAUCAUUCGCAAUGCGCGAAAGCGUGACGAUGCGACGCUGCGUGGAGGAUGACGGCCUUCGGGUUGUAAACUCCUGUCAUUCGGGAAAAAUGGCCUCGUGUUGAUAAUGCACGGGGUAUGAUGGUACCGGAAGAGGAAGCCACGGCUAACUCUGUGCCAGCAGCCGCGGUAAUACAUGUGGCGAGCGUUGUUCGGAUUUACUGGGCGUAAAGCGUGUGUAGGCGGUUUCGUAUGUCGGAUGUGAAAGCCCAUGGCUCAACUAUGGAAUUGCAUCCGAAACUGCGGGACUAGAGUACAGUAGGGGAGAGCGGAAUUCUAGGUGUAGCGGUGAAAUGCGUUGAUAUCUAGAAGAACACCGGUGGCGAAGGCGGCUCUCUGGAAUGUUACUGACGCUGAGACACGAAAGUCGGGGGAGCAAACAGGAUUAGAUACCCUGGUAGUCCCGACCGUAAACGGUGUGCACUUGGUGUGGGGGGUAUUGACCCCCCCCGUGCCGGAGCUAACGCGUUAAGUGCACCGCCUGGGGAGUACGGCCGCAAGGCUAAAACUCAAAGAAAUUGACGGGGGCCCGCACAAGCGGAGGAGCAUGUGGCUUAAUUCGAUGCAACGCGAAGAACCUUACCUGGACUUGACAUGGUACUGCACGUCCUGUGAAAGCAGGAUUCCUUCGAGGGUGUAUCACAGGUGCUGCAUGGCUGUCGUCAGUUCGUGCCGUGAGGUGUUUGGUUAAGUCCAGCAACGAACGCAACCCUUGUGGUUAGUUGCCACCGCAGGUGAUGAGCCUGCGAGCACUCUAGCCAGACUGCCCGUACAAGCGGGAGGAAGGUGGGGAUGACGUCAAGUCAGUAUGGCCCUUACGUCCAGGGCUGCACACGUGCUACAAUGGUCGGUACAGUGGGACGCAAUACCGCGAGGUGGAGCAAAUCCCCAAAACCGGCCCCAGUUCGGAUUGGAGUCUGAAACUCGACUCCAUGAAGUCGGAUUCGCUAGUAACGGCGUAUCAGCUACGACGCCGUGAAUACGUUCCCGGGCC